GACGAACGCUGGCGGCGUGCUUAACACAUGCAAGUCGAACGGAAAGGCCCUGCUUUUGUGGGGUGCUCGAGUGGCGAACGGGUGAGUAACACGUGAGUAACCUGCCCUUGACUUUGGGAUAACUUCAGGAAACUGGGGCUAAUACCGGAUAGGAGCUCCUGCUGCAUGGUGGGGGUUGGAAAGUUUCGGCGGUUGGGGAUGGACUCGCGGCUUAUCAGCUUGUUGGUGGGGUAGUGGCUUACCAAGGCUUUGACGGGUAGCCGGCCUGAGAGGGUGACCGGCCACAUUGGGACUGAGAUACGGCCCAGACUCCUACGGGAGGCAGCAGUGGGGAAUAUUGCACAAUGGGCGGAAGCCUGAUGCAGCAACGCCGCGUGCGGGAUGACGGCCUUCGGGUUGUAAACCGCUUUCGCCUGUGACGAAGCGUGAGUGACGGUAAUGGGUAAAGAAGCACCGGCUAACUACGUGCCAGCAGCCGCGGUGAUACGUAGGGUGCGAGCGUUGUCCGGAUUUAUUGGGCGUAAAGGGCUCGUAGGUGGUUGAUCGCGUCGGAAGUGUAAUCUUGGGGCUUAACCCUGAGCGUGCUUUCGAUACGGGUUGACUUGAGGAAGGUAGGGGAGAAUGGAAUUCCUGGUGGAGCGGUGGAAUGCGCAGAUAUCAGGAGGAACACCAGUGGCGAAGGCGGUUCCCUGGGCCUUUCCUGACGCUGAGGAGCGAAAGCGUGGGGAGCGAACAGGCUUAGAUACCCUGGUAGUCCACGCUGUAAACGGUGGGUACUAGGUGUGGGGUCCAUUCCACGGGUUCCGUGCCGUAGCUAACGCUUUAAGUACCCCGCCUGGGGAGUACGGCCGCAAGGCUAAAACUCAAAGGAAUUGACGGGGCCCCGCACAAGCGGCGGAGCAUGCGGAUUAAUUCGAUGCAACGCGUAGAACCUUACCUGGGUUUGACAUGGAUCGGGAGUGCUCAGAGAUGGGUGUGCCUCUUUUGGGGUCGGUUCACAGGUGGUGCAUGCCUGUCGUCAGCUCGUGUCGUGAGAUGUUGGGUUAAGUCCCGCAACGAGCGCAACCCUUGUUCACUGUUGCCAGCACGUUAUGGUGGGGACUCAGUGGAGACCGCCGGGGUCAACUCGGAGGAAGGUGGGGAUGACGUCAAGUCCUCAUGCCCCUUAUGUCCAGGGCUUCACGCAUGCUACAAUGGCUGGUACAGAGAGUGGCGAGCCUGUGAGGGUGAGCGAAUCUCGGAAAGCCGGUCUCAGUUCGGAUUGGGGUCUGCAACUCGACCUCAUGAAGUCGGAGUCGCUAGUAAUCGCAGAUCAGCAACGCUGCGGUGAAUACGUUCCCGGGGCUUGUACACACCGCCCGUCAAGUCAUGAAAGUUGGUAACACCCGAAGCCGGUGGCCUAACCGUUGUGGGGGAGCCGUCGAAG
This 1426-nucleotide ribosomal RNA is filed under the name uncultured organism. Its description in RNAcentral is "16S ribosomal RNA". It matches the Rfam family "Bacterial small subunit ribosomal RNA". The record is from RNAcentral.